This is a non-coding RNA of Rhodocollybia butyracea, 105 nucleotides long. NCBI's taxonomy places the organism in Eukaryota, Fungi, Basidiomycota, Agaricomycetes, Agaricales, Omphalotaceae. The record is from the annotation of a GenBank genome assembly.
UCCUUCUUAGCUCAGUUGGUAGAGCGCGUCACUAGUAUCCCAGAAGAGUCGUUUUGCGUUGAAUUUCUUAUGACGAGGUCAGUCGUUCAAGUCGGCUAGAAGUAA